UGAUUCGGGGCGAGCCAAAACUAAAUCAAUUGAAUUCAAAUGAAGUGAAUGGACAUUUUAUAUAGAAAUAAAAUAUACAUUAUUAUUUAUUUAUUAGGCUUUCUCACAAAUAUUUAGGCCUAACAAAGAGCUGUGAUCGAGGAAGGGGCGGAGACAUGGAAACCGUGAAAACGGAAAAUAACUGUCUUGUAUCGUUAAUGGGUCAUGUUUUUUGUCAUCCUAACCUAAUAAACAGCAGAUUUCUUUAUCUUACUAUUGGGUUCAUCAAGGAGAAUUCAAUUAAUUUUAUUUUGUAUAGCCCAAAAUCACAAAUUGGCCUCAGAGGGCUUUACAGUCUGUACACAUGCGACAUUCUCUGUCCCGAAACCCACCAUCGGCACAGGAAAUACUCCGCAAAAAAUGAAAAACCCUUCCACCUUCCUUAAGGAGAACGUCAUAGGAGGAAUUCCUGCCCUGGGAAUGGACAGACUACAAUGGAUGCCAUGUGUACAGAAUGAACAAUGUAAAACAUGUACAAUACAUUCAUUUCCUAUAACAGAUGAUUCAAAUAAUUGCGAGUAGCAAGCCAGGCGCACGGCAGGACCACGGCAGGGACAACCACCAUCCUGAGAAGCCUAUGGGGAGAAAAAAGACAAAGAAUUUAGGAAAGGGUAAUGUUGGUUUAUGAUGACAGUAAGAGUAAUAUGAUCCAUAUUUAAAAUAACAAUGAUGAUCGCAGGUGUCAGCAGGGCCACGGUAGGAGGCAGGCCAGCUCUAACUAAAAGCUUAAAUCUUUCCUCUUUAAUAUUGCUUAAUCUUAAAAGAGCUGACCGAAUCUUCCCCCCGGAAUGAAAGUGGAAGCUCGUUCCACAAAAGAGGAGCUUGAUAACUGAAGGCUCUGGCUCCCAUCCUACUUUUUAAAACCAUAGGAACAACAAGUAACCAAGCAUCUAUAGAGCGCAGCUGCCUUGUAGGGAAAUACGGUGUUACAAGCUCUAAGAUAAGGUCGGUGCCUCACCAGCAAGUGCCUUGUAGGUGAGAAGUACCUUAAAUUCUAUUCUUGAUUUAACAGAGAGCCAGUGCAGAGAAGUUAAAACAGGAGUAAUAUGAUCCAUUUUCUUAGUGGCCAACUGUGGGUGAGUGGGGAGCACGGUCGUCCUCCAAUCAGAGGGUUGUGGGUUCGAUCCCAGUCCUGGCUAACCCGCAUGUCGAUGUGUCCUUGGGUAAGACACUUAACCCAACAUUGCUCCUGUAGCUGCGACUACAGUGUGUGAAUGUUAGUUACUGAUGGCAGGUGUCACUGUGUAUGGUUCUCCUGUCAUCAGUGUGUGAAUGGGUGAAUAAUGUCAUGUAGUGUUAAAGCGCUUUGAGUGGUCGGAAGACUAGAAAAGCGCUAUACAAGUACAGGCCAUUUACCAUUUAUUGUUAAUACAUAUUGUUAUACCCUUUUGUAUUUAAGCCGUGUGUCUCUUGUGUCACUUGUCGCGUCAUUGUCUUUUGCCACGCAUGUCCUUGUCUAACAUCGUGGAUGUCCGUAGUUUCAUGCCUGCUGUUCUUCCCCUGGUUCCUGUGUUUUUUGGCCUUUUGACUAAUAAAGUCUUUUGUUUUCCUGAGAGGUCUGCAUUUGAGUCCUGCCUCCCCCACGCGUCCCUGACAGAUGGUGAGAUGCUUCGCGCUGGUUUGAUCUGUCCCCAAACACCCUCUCACGUCUGAAAGCAUGUCUCAAUAUCAGUGCUUCUUCAUCCAAAACGUGCUUCAGACAUGGGCAUCACGGUGCAGAAGGAAAAACAGACAGACGAGAAGAAGCUGCUGAAUGCUCUCAGUGGAUCGUCUCGUCAACUCCAACAACAAACUGCCGAUAUCAACGAGCGGUUCGCUCCACUGGAGCGUUCGGGACUCUGCGGGUUUCUGUCCAUGGAGGAGAGGAACCGACUCAAAGAAGAGGAGACGGGCGCACAAUCCCACGAUAGCGGAAGCAGUGCGCCGUUUUCACAACUCCGAGACGAACUACAGGCGCUACGAACCGGAGCAAGGGAUUUACAGAAUAUGCUUUCAUUCUGCGGUAUAAGGAAAUAUAUACGUAUGGAUACCGAUCAUAACUGUACAUUUUGUUUUCACAGACUAAUCUCGCCUCAUAAUGAGGCGGUGACCUCGUAUUUGCUCCGGGAAAAGUUCAGAUUUAGACGACGUCAUUGUGUCUGCCUGUGAGACGUAUUGUGAGACGGGACGCAGGAGCUUCAGGUUCAGCCGGAAAACACUCAUUGCGAGCGGAAGCUGCGAAGGAUUCAGUGCGGAGUCGAGCGAGAAGAAAGAGGCUGCUGGAAUCGAGACAAAGUGUGCUGGCUGAUGACGAGGUGGAACGCUGGAAAUCCGCCACCGUAGAGCUCACGUCGGACGGAGGGGACGGCGUUGUUGGCGGGGUCUCGGGGUGGAUUGUACGGUCGCCACACACGAGCCGCCUGCACAACAGACCUGCCUCGGAAAACACGGCGCCAGUGACGGUCUACAACCCAGAGGAGGCAAACGGACAGUUUACUGAGCUGUAGUUUUUAAACCGCCGUUACCCAAGUGUGGGCAGAUCCUCACUGUAUGUAGUUGUUGUUAAUAAAGC
Long non-coding RNA from Gasterosteus aculeatus aculeatus (three-spined stickleback), 2590 nucleotides. Lineage: Eukaryota; Metazoa; Chordata; Actinopteri; Perciformes; Gasterosteidae. The record is from Ensembl.